CAGAGGUGCCGUCGAGUUGCAAACUUCAGGAAGAAGACGGGAGUGAAUCGGCGGCUGUCGUGAGAACGCAGGAAUAACCGCCGACAAAUUCUCUCCUUCAUUUUUUUUUUCACGCCGCCAACUUCGCUCAAUCUCAUUAUCCGUCUCCGCCCGACGAACACAUUAUCUGUAAUGCUGCAUGUCUGUUCCUUUCUCUCUCUCUCACACACACACACACACACACACACGCACACACUUCUCUCUUGAGCUCUGAUGAGUUUACGCCUUCCCUUUAGGUUCGGCCGCUGUGAUGUGAUGUGAUUUUUAAUAAGGAAGGUGUUUCCUGAGCCCGGUGCUGGUUCCUGUGGAGUGAGAGAGUCUUCUGGGAGAGGGACUAAAGAAAAAGUCAUGAACGCUUGAUCCCAAUAAGCAGAAAAAUGACCUGAGCGUGAAACUGAAGUUUGACGACGUCUCCCUGAGGUCUUAACCACCCUAGCUAUAUGACGUUGUGAUGCACCUCCACUCAGCCGUGAAAUAAAGCUGCCGAGACUCAACAGACCAUUGAAGGCGCAACAGAAGCAGCUGCCACCGUCCUGUGCUCCUGUUGGCUUCCUGAUUGUUUUCACCUGUCAUCACACCUGUCUCCUAUGCUCAUCAGUGUCAGCCCCGCCCCUGAUUGGUCCCACCUGUGUCUUGUUACCAUGUGCUUAAAUUCCCCUGUCUCCCAGUGUUCCUUGUCAGUUCGUCUGGUCUUUUGCCAUGAUCAGGUCGGGUUAUGUUGUGCUCUUGAAAAGUUUUUGAUCCCUCACUACGUGAGCGCUUUCAUUUGUUCACUGCAGAACCGAAGA
This is a long non-coding RNA of Pseudoliparis swirei, 827 nucleotides long. RefSeq lists it as uncharacterized. The transcript is spliced from 3 exons. The record is from RefSeq and is a predicted model, not a curated record. Lineage: Eukaryota; Metazoa; Chordata; Actinopteri; Perciformes; Liparidae.